UACGUAGGGUCCAAGCGUUGUCCGGAAUUAUUGGGCGUAAAGAGCGUGUAGGCGGCCAGGUAGGUCCGGUGUGAAAACUCGAGGCUUAACCUCGAGAUGUCAUCGGAAACCAUCUGGCUAGAGUCCGGAAGAGGAAAGUGGAAUUCCUGGUGUAGCGGUGAAAUGCGCAGAUAUCAGGAAGAACACCAAUGGCGAAAGCAGCUUUCUGGGACGGUACUGACGCUGAGACGCGAAAGCGUGGGGAGCGAACAGG
RNAcentral lists this ribosomal RNA (253 nucleotides) under uncultured bacterium. RNAcentral describes it as "partial 16S ribosomal RNA". It matches the Rfam family "Bacterial small subunit ribosomal RNA", at positions 524 to 776 of the family's 1533-position model. The record is from RNAcentral.